This 491-nucleotide ribosomal RNA is filed under the name uncultured bacterium. Its description in RNAcentral is "partial 16S ribosomal RNA". It matches the Rfam family "Bacterial small subunit ribosomal RNA", at positions 29 to 506 of the family's 1533-position model. The record is from RNAcentral.
AGUGAACGCUGGCGGUAGGCCUAACACAUGCAAGUCGAACGGCAGCACAGUAAGAGCUUGCUCUUACGGGUGGCGAGUGGCGGACGGGUGAGGAAUACAUCGGAAUCUACUUUUUCGUGGGGGAUAACGUAGGGAAACUUACGCUAAUACCGCAUACGACCUACGGGUGAAAGCAGGGGAUCUUCGGACCUUGCGCGAUUGAAUGAGCCGAUGUCGGAUUAGCUAGUUGGCGGGGUAAAGGCCCACCAAGGCGACGAUCCGUAGCUGGUCUGAGAGGAUGAACAGCCACACGGGAAGUGAAACAGGGCCCAGCCUCCUAGGGGAGGCAGAAGGGGGAAAUUUUGGAAAAGGGGGGAAAGCCUGACCCAGCCAUACCGGGGGGGGAAAGAAGGCCUUCGGGUGGUAAAGCCCUUUUGUUGGGAAAAAAAACCAGCAGGUUAAACCCCCGUUGUUUUGAGGGUACCAAAAAAAUAAGCACCGGUAAAUUUCGU